Molecule: long non-coding RNA, 536 nt
Organism: Astatotilapia calliptera (eastern happy)
Lineage: Eukaryota; Metazoa; Chordata; Actinopteri; Cichliformes; Cichlidae
Source: Ensembl
GUGAAGACUGUGAGACACCGGCAGCGAUGCUUUCAAGUAGACUUCAGCUCUCCAGCAUACAGGACUUGAUGUGCAAUGUGUCCCACGGUGGUGGCACAGCCAAAUACAACAUCCAGAAGUUUGUUGAUUUCAUGGAUGCAAACAGAUCCAAGCUCGAGUUCUCCUGGAUCACUGCAGACAAAAGUGUCCUCGCAAACCACCUGGACCACGCGAAGCAGGUGAUAAGUAGCAGCUGCGACACUCUCGUCACCUCAAGCUGCUACCCAAACGUUGUCUAUGAAGGACAUGUCGUCUUAGAGGGGACGGUUCGAGAUUACACAGCCAAUUGCACAACUACCUGCCCUGCAAAAGGUCUGUUUGAUGGAAAAGGGGAGUCCUGCUUGACUGUAAUCCCUCCUUUCAUGAUUGCUGUCAUGGUUAUCCUGACAGUCCUACUGCUGGCAGGCCUCAUGGUGUGCCUCGUGCGCUCUAGAAGAAACAAUGGUGCACCCGUGAUGCAAGACUCCGCACUGCAGAGGAAAGUCCGAAUACCAGCU